RNAcentral lists this ribosomal RNA (274 nucleotides) under uncultured bacterium. RNAcentral's name for it is "partial 16S ribosomal RNA". It matches the Rfam family "Bacterial small subunit ribosomal RNA", at positions 523 to 796 of the family's 1533-position model. The record is from RNAcentral.
AUACGGAGGGUGCGAGCGUUAAUCGGAAUUACUGGGCGUAAAGGGUGCGUAGGCGGCUUGAUAAGUCGGAUGUGAAAGCCCCGGGCUUAACCUGGGAAUUGCAUUCGAUACUGUCAGGCUAGAGUAUGUCAGAGGUUGGCGGAAUUCCUGGUGUAGCGGUGAAAUGCGUAGAUAUCAGGAGGAACACCAGUGGCGAAGGCGGCUAACUGGGGCAAUUCUGCCGCUGAGGCACGAAAGCGUGGGGAGCAAACAGGAUUAGAUACCCUAGUAGUCC